This 693-nucleotide ribosomal RNA is filed under the name Actinomucor elegans var. meitauza. Its description in RNAcentral is "eukaryotic LSU rRNA". It matches the Rfam family "Eukaryotic large subunit ribosomal RNA", at positions 50 to 648 of the family's 3401-position model. The record is from RNAcentral. Lineage: Eukaryota; Fungi; Mucoromycota; Mucoromycetes; Mucorales; Mucoraceae.
GCGGAGGAAAAGAAAAUAACAAUGAUUUCCCCAGUAACGGCGAGUGAAGAGGAAAGAGCUCAAAGUUGGAACCUGCUUGGCUUAGCCAAGCCGGAUUGUAAACUGUAGAAGUGUUUUCCUGACACGCCAGGCAAAAAAGUCCUUUGGAACAGGGCAUCAUAGAGGGUGAGAAUCCCGUCUUUGGCCUGAGCAGUUGUCUUUUGCGAUACACUUUCAAAGAGUCAGGUUGUUUGGGAAUGCAGCCUAAAUUGGGUGGUAAAUCUCACCUAAAGCUAAAUAUUGGCGAGAGACCGAUAGCGAACAAGUACCGUGAGGGAAAGAUGAAAAGAACUUUGAAAAGAGAGUUAAACAGUAUGUGAAAUUGUUAAAAGGGAACCGUUUGGAGCCAGACUGGCUUGGCUGUAAUCAAUCUGGGCUUUUGCCCGGAUGCACUUGCGGCCUAUGCCUGCCAACGACAGUUUUAUUUGGGGGAAAAAACCAGGCGGAAUGUGGCCCCUUUGGGGGUGUUAUAGCCUCUUGGAAAAUACCCUGGAUUGGACUGAGGAUCGCAGCGAAUGCCAUUAGGCGAGAUUGCGGCGUGCUUUCGCUGAUAAAUGCUAGAAUUUCUGCUUCGGGUGGUGCUAGUGUUUAAAGGUGGAACCCGCGCUGUAUAUUUUUUAUUCGCUUAGGUUGUUGGCUUAUGACUCUAAUGAC